UUUUUAUAUUGUAGCAUUGCCUCGUGUGUCUUCUGCCUUUGCAGAGAGAAGAUUAUUCUGCUCCUCAGACCAUAGUAGCAUUUGGUACAGCUAUGAAGUGUUCACAGUUGCUCGUUUCGAUUAUCAUGCUCGUGUUUACGUCAAAGGUCAGCUCUGGUUUGAGUACACACAGCCAUAUAUUCCUUGUGAGGAUAUCAAAAUCUGUUACAUCAUCAAAGGAGAAACACUGCAUGAAACCUGUCCAUUUUAUUUUAAAAGAAAAGGAUUUUUCGCUACUCAGGUGAGAUGUCUGUACCCAUUUUAUUAUAAACAAGAUUUUAUCAAUUGUUCCUGUAGCUUUACUAGUAUAA
Long non-coding RNA from Sinocyclocheilus rhinocerous, 350 nucleotides. RefSeq lists it as uncharacterized. The transcript is spliced from 3 exons. The record is from RefSeq and is a predicted model, not a curated record. NCBI's taxonomy places the organism in Eukaryota, Metazoa, Chordata, Actinopteri, Cypriniformes, Cyprinidae.